UACGGAGGGGGCUAGCGUUGUUCGGAAUUACUGGGCGUAAAGCGCGCGUAGGCGGACCUGCAAGUCGGGGGUGAAAGCCCGAGGCUCAACCUCGGAACUGCCUUCGAUACUGCGGGUCUCGAGUCCGGGAGAGGUGAGUGGAAUUCCUAGUGUAGAGGUGAAAUUCGUAGAUAUUAGGAAGAACACCAAUUGCGAAGGCAGCUUACUACCCGAAUAUUGACACUGAGGCACGAAAGCGUGGGGAUCAAACAGG
RNAcentral lists this ribosomal RNA (253 nucleotides) under uncultured bacterium. RNAcentral describes it as "partial 16S ribosomal RNA". It matches the Rfam family "Bacterial small subunit ribosomal RNA", at positions 524 to 776 of the family's 1533-position model. The record is from RNAcentral.